GUGUCGGCAGCACAUAUACUAAAAUUGGAACGAUACAGAGAAGAUUAGCAUGGCCCCUGGGCAAGGAUGACACGCCAAUUCAUGACCUCUUUCAAACCUCU
Small nuclear RNA from Rattus norvegicus (Norway rat), 101 nucleotides. The record is from Ensembl. NCBI's taxonomy places the organism in Eukaryota, Metazoa, Chordata, Mammalia, Rodentia, Muridae.